GAGGAGAGCAAGAGACUUCUCAGUCAGCAGGGAGAGCUGUCAGCAUGACGUUUGCUGCCUUGCUGUGGGCACUCGUGGUCUCGAUCUGUCUUGGAUCCAGCAUGACCCAGACGGUCACUCAGCCUCAACCAGAAGUGUCCGUGCAGGAGGCAGAGACUGUGGCCCUGGACUGCACAUAUGACACUAGUGAGAGAGAUUAUUAUUUAUUCUGGUACAAGCAGCUUCCCAGCGGGGAGCUGAUUUUCAUUAUCCGCCAAGAAUCCUAUAAGCAAGAAAAUGCAGCGGAUAAUCGCUUCUCUGUGAACUUCCAGAGAGAAACCAAAAGCAUCGGCCUCAGGAUCUCGGACUCCCAGCUGGAGGACGCUGCGAUGUAUUUCUGUGCUCUCAGUGGGGCACAGUGAGAGGAGGAACAGGGAGAGGUUUACAGAAACCUCAGACCUGGUGCCUGGGUCAGGGGGACAGGAAGUGGUUGGGGUAGCAGAAACAUAGAAAAGCAUUGUCUUCUCUUAGGAAUUAAAACUCCUUAUGACUGAAUAUAAGAAACACAGAGAGAUGGAUGUCAGCAAGCUGAACUCCUUAAAAUAAUAUCAAGAAGCCCAGCCAGUGUGGCUCAA
This is a non-coding RNA of Molossus molossus (Pallas's mastiff bat), 614 nucleotides long. Lineage: Eukaryota; Metazoa; Chordata; Mammalia; Chiroptera; Molossidae. The record is from the annotation of a RefSeq genome assembly.